UACGUAGGGGGGCUAGCGUUGUUCGGAAUCACUGGGCGUAAAAGCGCACGUAGGCGGAUGUGUCAGUCAGGGGUGAAAUCCCGGGGCUCAACCUCGGAACUGCCUUUGAUACAGCACGUCUCGAGUCCGGAAGAGGUGGGUGGAAUUCCUAGUGUAGAGGUGAAAUUCGUAGAUAUUAGGAAGAACACCGGUGGCGAAGGCGGCCCACUGGUCCGGUACUGACGCUGAGGUGCGAAAGCGUGGGGAGGCAAACAGGAAUUGAGAUAC
RNAcentral lists this ribosomal RNA (267 nucleotides) under uncultured bacterium. Its description in RNAcentral is "partial 16S ribosomal RNA". It matches the Rfam family "Bacterial small subunit ribosomal RNA", at positions 524 to 785 of the family's 1533-position model. The record is from RNAcentral.